CUCCAUCCGUCUCCUCUGCCCUAUGUGAAGACGCGCUCCUCCUCCGCCUCAACCUGCUCCUCCACGGCGCUCACCGCCGCCUCGCCGCGCCUCUCAUUCAACUCUUCUUCCCUCAAGGCUCUCCAGGGCCUCCUCCGCUCUGACCCGGCCGCGCCCUCCUCGUCCCCGCCGCAGCCGCCGCACACGGCCCCGUGCUCCCCUUCCGCCGCCCGCGUUUUCCACCGCGUCCGCGUGGCCGCCUCAGCCCUCCGCGUGCUCCGCACCCUUCAGGCACCGCCCGCCGCCGCCGAAGCCGACCGCCGCGUCUCCCCCGUCUCCGGGGGUCCUUCCUGUUCGCGCCGGCGGCGGCUUUGGAGUUUUCGGGGGCGUUUCUUGGGUGGCUGGCCGAGCCAUUUCUCUAGCCACCGUGACACCGCGAGGAAGCCUCGCGUCCGGUUAAGGAGCUUAUGUGCUUUGGUGCCACACCCACCCGGUGGUUUUCAGGUCUGACUGAAACUGAGAUUGGUCUGGAUGGAAUCCCUAUGGUUGAUCCCAGUAGGCCAGUACAAACAGGACCCUAAGGAUUUAUCCCCUCGAUACACUGACGAAAUGGGAGGUUUUGGAUUCAACUGUAAUUGUGAUUUGCGCGAAAACUUUGGUAUACAUUGAAGCAAAGCUAACAAGGCUGAAGUCGAACAACUAUACCUCCAAUGCUUUGCUUGAUACUGUGACAGUAGCAACAUUCCAGGUACUGGAGCAAGAUUUCUUAUAUCUGGGUGAGGGCACCAAUCAAUGUUGGGACAAGGAAUCUCAUCACUGCAACAAUAUAUAGCUACCACAUUGGACCAGGAAGCAAACAAAAGGACUGCACUCACACGGAACCAUGAAGCCAACGAUCUAUGUCAACCAGAUGUUUUAGAUUUCAUUUUGUACAAUUGAUGUCCCAUAUGUUUUACCUUCUGUGAACCUGGUGCAUGGUGUCAUGGUGGUUAUGUUUAGAACAGACUGAAGUGUAUGUAUGUUACAAAUAGUUAAUGGAAUAAAAAAAUGUUUGUUGCACCUGA
Triticum aestivum (bread wheat) is the source of this 1043-nucleotide long non-coding RNA. RefSeq lists it as uncharacterized. NCBI's taxonomy places the organism in Eukaryota, Viridiplantae, Streptophyta, Magnoliopsida, Poales, Poaceae. The record is from RefSeq and is a predicted model, not a curated record. The transcript is spliced from 5 exons.